UCCUAAUGUCCUAUACCGGAUUGGACCAUAUCAGUAUAGUGUAUUGUACUAUACUGAUAUUUGGUACGCUGUCUCGUACUAUAUUGAAUCAUGUACCAACAUUAUAAUAGAAUGAUAUAAGUACGAGAUCCAAUGCCAAGAUGGUGAGCUUUGCUCCCAACCAUCCCUGAGGAUUAGAUGAUGCUUUUGUGGCCUUAUCCAUGAGUGUUGCUUCUCCUCUCAAUG
This 225-nucleotide long non-coding RNA is filed under the name Elaeis guineensis (African oil palm). RNAcentral describes it as "long non-coding RNA (EGUI_LNC001442)". Lineage: Eukaryota; Viridiplantae; Streptophyta; Magnoliopsida; Arecales; Arecaceae. The record is from RNAcentral.